RNAcentral lists this ribosomal RNA (253 nucleotides) under uncultured bacterium. Its description in RNAcentral is "partial 16S ribosomal RNA". It matches the Rfam family "Bacterial small subunit ribosomal RNA", at positions 524 to 776 of the family's 1533-position model. The record is from RNAcentral.
UACGUAGGGGGCAAGCGUUGUCCGGAAUCAUUGGGCGUAAAGCGCGUGUAGGCGGUUCGGUAAGUCUGCUGUGAAAGUCCAGGGCUCAACCCUGGGAUGCCGGUGGAUACUGUCGGACUAGAGUACGGAAGAGGCGAGUGGAAUUCCCGGUGUAGCGGUGAAAUGCGCAGAUAUCGGGAGGAACACCAAUUGCGAAGGCAGCUCGCUGGGACGUUACUGACGCUGAGACGCGAAAGCGUGGGUAGCAAACGGG